AUUGAACGCUGGCGGCAUGCCUAACACAUGCAAGUCGAACGGUAACAGGCGAUCGGGUGCUCACGGGUGGCGGAGGGGGGCGUAAGGGAACGGAACGUAUACAGCGGCGGGGGAUAAGGGAGCGAAAGCUGUGACCAUACCGCAUGCGAGCUGAGGAUGAAAGCGGGAGAGCGAGCAGGAGUGUUACGCCUCGCGCCUUUGGAAUGGGCGGUGCCGGAUUAGCUAGUUGGUGGGGUAAAGGCCUACCAAGGCGACGAUCCGUAGCUGGUCUGAGAGGACGACCAGCCACACUGGAACUGAGACACGGUCCAGACUCCUACGGGAGGCAGCAGUGGGGAAUAUUGGACAAUGGGCGCAAGCCUGAUCCAGCAAUGCCGCGUGCGUGAAGAAGGCCUUCGGGUUGUAAACCUCUUUUGUUAGGAAAGAAACGGUGUCCGCUAAUACCGGGCGCUAAUGACGGUACCUACAGAAUAAGCACCGGCUAACUACGUG
RNAcentral lists this ribosomal RNA (492 nucleotides) under uncultured bacterium. RNAcentral describes it as "partial 16S ribosomal RNA". It matches the Rfam family "Bacterial small subunit ribosomal RNA", at positions 29 to 507 of the family's 1533-position model. The record is from RNAcentral.